UGGAAGCGAGGCUGAGGGCACAGCAAUAUAGGCUGUUAUAAUACGUGCCUUAUUGCUGGGCCCCUCAGCCUCGCUUCCA
Paramuricea clavata is the source of this 79-nucleotide non-coding RNA. The record is from the annotation of a GenBank genome assembly. Lineage: Eukaryota; Metazoa; Cnidaria; Anthozoa; Malacalcyonacea; Plexauridae.